Molecule: non-coding RNA, 878 nt
Filed under: Terpsiphone viridis
Lineage: Eukaryota; Metazoa; Chordata; Aves; Passeriformes; Monarchidae
Description: partial 12S ribosomal RNA
Rfam family: Bacterial small subunit ribosomal RNA
Source: RNAcentral
UACAUGCAAGUAUCCGCAUUCCAGUGUAGAUGCCCUAGGCACCCUUCUUCAACCAAGUCGAUAGGAGCGAGUAUCAGACACGCCCAAACUUCCAGGCAGUCCAAGACACUUUGCAUUUGCCACGCCUCCACAGGUACUCAGCAGUAGUUAACAUUAAGCAAUAAGUGUAAACUUGACUUAGUCAUAGCAACCUAAAGAGUCGGUAAAUCCUGUGCCAGCCACCGCGGUCAUACAGGAGACUCAAAUCAACUUUAUAACGGCGUAAAGGGUGGUAACAUGUUAUCCAAACAACUAAGAUGAAAAAACAACUGAGCCGUAACAAGCCUAAGAUGUCCAUAAAACCAUCUACCGAAGAAGAUCUUAGAUCCACGAUUAAUUGAAAUCCACGAAAGCUAGGACCCAAACUGGGAUUAGAUACCCCACUAUGCCUGGCCCUAAAUCUUGAUACUCUGACCUACUUGAGUAUCCGCCCGAGAACUACGAGCACAAACGCUUAAAACUCUAAGGACUUGGCGGUGUCCCAAACCCACCUAGAGGAGCCUGUUCUAUAAUCGAUGAUCCACGAUAUACCUAACCAUCUCUUGCAGAGUCAGCCUAUAUACCGCCGUCGCCAGCUCACCCUCCCUGACGGAUCAACAGUGAGCGCAAUAGCCUCUACGCUAAUAAGACAGGUCAAGGUAUAGCCUAUGGGAUGGAAGUAAUGGGCUACAUUUUCUAGAUUAGAACAUCACGGCAAAAAGACAUGAAACAGUCUUUAGAAGGCGGAUUUAGCAGUAAAGUGGGAUAAUCAAGCCCUCUUUAAGCCGGCUCUGGGGCACGUACAUACCGCCCGUCACCCUCCUCGCAAGCGACCAAACUAAAAUACAUUGAUACGCUAU